AGGACGUUGUUUUUCUGUUCCCUAGCUCUGAGAAGAAAGGACGUUGUUUCUCUGUUCCCUAGCUCUGAGAAGAAAGGACGUUGUUUUUCUGUUCCCUAGCUCAGAGGAAAGGACGUUGUUUUUCUGUUCCCUAGCUCUGAGAAGGACGUUGUUUUUCUGUUCCCUA
RNAcentral lists this long non-coding RNA (166 nucleotides) under Oncorhynchus mykiss (rainbow trout). Its description in RNAcentral is "lncRNA (ENSOMYG00000074063.1)". Lineage: Eukaryota; Metazoa; Chordata; Actinopteri; Salmoniformes; Salmonidae. The record is from RNAcentral.